This 641-nucleotide ribosomal RNA is filed under the name uncultured bacterium. RNAcentral's name for it is "bacterial SSU rRNA". It matches the Rfam family "Bacterial small subunit ribosomal RNA", at positions 56 to 699 of the family's 1533-position model. The record is from RNAcentral.
UGCAGUCGACGGAAGGCCCUUUCGGGGGUACUCGAGUGGCGAACGGGUGAGUAACACGUGGGUGAUCUGCCCUGCACUUUGGGAUAAGCCUGGGAAACUGGGUCUAAUACCGAAUACACCCUGCUGGUCGCAUGGCCUGGUGGGGGAAAGCUUUUGCGGUGUGGGAUGGGCCCGCGGCCUAUCAGCUUGUUGGUGGGGUGAUGGCCUACCAAGGCGACGACGGGUAGCCGGCCUGAGAGGGUGUCCGGCCACACUGGGACUGAGAUACGGCCCAGACUCCUACGGGAGGCAGCAGUGGGGAAUAUUGCACAAUGGGCGCAAGCCUGAUGCAGCGACGCCGCGUGGGGGAUGACGGCCUUCGGGUUGUAAACCUCUUUCACCAUCGGCGAAGCCCAUAGCUUUUGUUGUGGGUGACGGUAGGUGGAGAAGAAGCACCGGCCAACUACGUGCCAGCAGCCGCGGUAAUACGUAGGGUGCGAGCGUUGUCCGGAAUUACUGGGCGUAAAGAGCUCGUAGGUGGUUUGUCGCGUUGUCCGUGAAAUUCCCUGGCUUAACUGGGGGCGUGCGGGCGAUACGGGCAGACUAGAGUACUGCAGGGGAGACUGGAAUUCCUGGUGUAGCGGUGGAAUGCGCAGAUAUCA